GGAGAUUUGACCGGCCAUUCUUAGCUCUAACUGAGGGUAUCUUCUAAAGACAUAACCAAUAGGUGCAGAUGAUUCCUUAAUGACAGACAGCUGGUGAGAAAGGUUUGCUUUCUACGCUUCCUGGUGACCAGUCCAUAUCCUGAAACUAUCUACCUGCCCCAGCCCUGAAUCACCGCAUUAGUAGGAACUCAGGUGUAAUGAAAAGGGGCUCAUUGUUUCUUGAUUCUAAGAAGUUGGUACCACAGAUAGAUGUGGAUCAAUUUGUCCCUGGGAAGGGAUAGGUCAAAUUGAACCACAGCCUUACCUCUGGCCUCCUUGGCCUGUCCGGGAUCACUGCACUAGCUCUCAGACUCCGGCUGGUCUCUGCAUUCCAUUCUGUCCCCUGCUGCCAGCAUGAUGCUGCUGAAGUGAAAAUUUGCAAAUGUCAAUUUUAUGCUUAAACUUCUUCAAUAGCUUCCAGGAUUCCAGACUUUUAGCUUAGCCCCUGGGCCCUCCAGUCCCUCCCCAGAGGUCAUCCUGUGUUCAGUCAUUUGUAUAUUUCCCUAAAUGCAUCACACGGUGUUUCCCCUUGGUCAUUUAAUACAGAUUGCUUCCUCUGCCUGCCUGGUGUUGUUGGUCUUCCGAGCUGGCUCCUCCUCAUUGUGCUGACAACACUAUCAGUUGUCUUUCUCAGAAAGCUUCUUUAGAGCCUCCCUUUGGCACACCUUCCUCAAUUUGGUACCCUUGAAUGUUUUUCCUUCCGUAACAUUAGGGGAUUAUCUAUGCCAUAUCCAGUGCCAUAAGGUACUGCAAUCUUAGCUACCCAUCUUACACCCAAAUGGGGAGCAGGAAUCUAGCAUGGUUAAAUAUGUAAACAAAUCAGUGCAAGAGCUUUCACUGAAUGUUUGAAAAUCUUUUAUUUAUUCAACAAAGCAAUGAUUUAUCCUUAGACCCUGAGGAAAGAAUACUAAGGAACAAAAGUUACAGGGAGGCCAAUUUGGGGUUAUUGUUAAGGAUUUUUGUUUCUAAUAAACAGAGCUCUUUUCAAAUUAAAUCAACUGUUUAUGUGAUAGGGCACUUCUGGUUAUGGGGGAAAUUAGGUAAAGGCUGGAUUGAAGCCGUGGAUCUGUUACUGGGAGACUCAGCAUCAGAUGAAGACUGGACUGUGUGGUUGUCAUCAUGUUGGCCACCAGUG
This is a long non-coding RNA of Canis lupus familiaris (dog), 1174 nucleotides long. RefSeq lists it as uncharacterized. The transcript has 4 exons. Lineage: Eukaryota; Metazoa; Chordata; Mammalia; Carnivora; Canidae. The record is from RefSeq and is a predicted model, not a curated record.